Callithrix jacchus (white-tufted-ear marmoset) is the source of this 136-nucleotide microRNA precursor. NCBI's taxonomy places the organism in Eukaryota, Metazoa, Chordata, Mammalia, Primates, Cebidae. The record is from Ensembl.
UGCAGUUUAAUUCUCUCUUGGUGGUUUAUUGCCUACCAAAAAUACAUACUUCUUUACAUUCCAUAGCAUUGUAUGUUCAUAUGGGUACAUAAAGAAGUAUGUACUCUGAGUAGGUAUUACUAAGUUGUUAGCUGUA